GUCUACAGCCAUGCUACCCUGAAAGUGCCUGAUCUCAUCUGAUCUCGGAAGCUAAGCAGUGUCGGCCCUUGUUAGCACUUGGAUUGGAGACCACUUAGGAAGACCAGGUGCUGUAGGCA
Molecule: ribosomal RNA, 119 nt
Filed under: Pteropus alecto (black flying fox)
Lineage: Eukaryota; Metazoa; Chordata; Mammalia; Chiroptera; Pteropodidae
Source: RNAcentral